UAAAAAGUGUAUAUGCUUGUAAGAAACAUGCACUAUCGGGCCAAAAAUGCUGGACAUCCCUACUAUUUACUGAGAUAACAUCAAGAAGCCCUGGCAACUGGAUUUGAACUUAACAGCACUGGUGUUCACCCAUCAUCCACUGUUCAGCCAAGAGCAUGUGUGGCACAGAGACUGCUGGAACUAUAUGAGCAUUACCAAACCAGAAAAAUGCCAAAGAAAAGUUACUAAUCUGCAGGAAUAGCACAGGCAUUUCCCACAGGAAACACUGGGCGCAAGGCUGGAAUAACCUGGACAGGACGCCAAUCCAUUGCAGUGCUUUUCCCACCCCCAGAUAUAGCCAGUCAUGUCUGUGUAAACAUUCGGCUAGCCGAUGAGAUUCAAAUCUGGAUCUCAGUGAUGGAGGGCCUUAGCGCCCUGUUCUACUUAUCCACAAUCCACUGAUACAUUUAAUGACCUGAAUGGGUAAUGUAAUAUUAAAGUA
Molecule: long non-coding RNA, 481 nt
Organism: Trichomycterus rosablanca
Lineage: Eukaryota; Metazoa; Chordata; Actinopteri; Siluriformes; Trichomycteridae
Exons: 3
Source: RefSeq, a predicted model, not a curated record